This is a long non-coding RNA of Ochotona princeps (American pika), 394 nucleotides long. RefSeq lists it as uncharacterized. The transcript has 3 exons. NCBI's taxonomy places the organism in Eukaryota, Metazoa, Chordata, Mammalia, Lagomorpha, Ochotonidae. The record is from RefSeq and is a predicted model, not a curated record.
GGCAGCUGGGCCACGGUGGGCUGGAGACUGAAGCUGAGCCCAGGCCAGAGGAGGCGUUGCAGGGCCUGAGGAUGGCCGAGGUGGCAGCCGGGGGUUGACACUCCGUGUGUGAGCAAGCGGCUGGAGAUGUUUAUGUCUGGGGAUGGAAUGAGUCAGGACAGCUGGCUCUGCCUACCAGGAGCCUGGCGGGAGACACAGGGCAAGGCGCAGGGCUGCAGGAAGAUGGCUUGAAAGAGGAGAGAGCAGCGGGAGACGAGGAUGCAGCCCCUGCUGCCUUCAUAGCUGUACAGCCCCUCCCAGCCUUGUUGGAUCUCCCCCUGGGCGCAGAGGUGGCCAAGGCCAGCUGUGGGUCCCGACACACAGCCGUGGUGACACGUGAGUGGGGCUGGGCACG